UCAGCCUUAUCCCUAACCCCCCUCCUCUCUGUUGAUUUCGUGGAGCACCAGCCGAGCUCCUCCCUGCGGCUCGCCUCCCUCACGGCGCCGCCUGCUCCCCAUUACCGACCUCCACUCCAGCACCUGAGCAAGCGCUCCUAAGGUCAUCUUCCCCAUCCCCUCCCCAUCUUCCUCUAGUGCUGGCUGCCAUGUCGUCUUCCCCAUCCCUCCCAUGGUACCCUCACCUCUGCUCCUCCCAGCGCCCUGGCUCUGCUCGACCUUCAUAGUGAGCUCACCCUCAGCCAUGGAGGGUGCCGCCUCCACCUCCCCCUUGGUGCUCGCCGAGCUCGCCCUCAGCCUUGCCGCGCCCCUGCUUCCUGUUCCCAGUGCCGACGCCCCUGCCUUUUUCCCCAUCUCCUUCCCUUGACGUGCUCGCCCAGGUCGCGCGCGUCCAGCUCGCCGGCCGAACUCCCUCAGCUUCGUCUUCAACCACCGCCGACCCCAUGGUGAGCUCGCACAAACUCCAUCUCCCUGUGCGCCCUUUGUUCUGCUCCAACCGUUCUCCACGCCGUGUUCCCCCCCCAUGGCUCCCCUUGCCUCUCCGGUCAGCACUAGCCCGAACGGUAUAGCAGCAUACCGGUGCCAAACCCGUGUUCGCGACGCUCGCCAAGUGCUCGAUGAAAUACCGCAGUGAGCUCCACCUCGAGUUGUGCAGCCCCAACCCGCGACGUUGCAACACCCUUGCCCUCCGUCGAUGUUGCGCUUCGUGCAUUGCUCCUCGACGAAGAGCCAGAACCGUGGUAGACAUGCAUGCGCGAUCCAAACUGAUUUCACCAGAUACGCUAGGUGAUUAUGCGAUAUGAAGGGCAUGGGCCUGACUGGACCACAAGAUGAUAUCGAUGGACCACACCCUAUAGGAAUGAUCAGAUCAAGUACCAGGAUGGAAGAUGCUCACCAAGUGGUCGUCAUUUAACAACACUAACGUAGUGUUUAUCCCAG
Molecule: long non-coding RNA, 978 nt
Organism: Zea mays
Lineage: Eukaryota; Viridiplantae; Streptophyta; Magnoliopsida; Poales; Poaceae
Exons: 3
Source: RefSeq, a predicted model, not a curated record